GACGAACGCUGGCGGCGUGCUUAACACAUGCAAGUCGAACGGAAAGGCCCUGCUUUUGUGGGGUGCUCGAGUGGCGAACGGGUGAGUAACACGUGAGUAACCUGCCCUUGACUUUGGGAUAACUUCAGGAAACUGGGGCUAAUACCGGAUAGGAGCUCCUGCUGCAUGGUGGGGGUUGGAAAGUUUCGGCGGUUGGGGAUGGACUCGCGGCUUAUCAGCUUGUUGGUGGGGUAGUGGCUUACCAAGGCUUUGACGGGUAGCCGGCCUGAGAGGGUGACCGGCGACAUUGGGACUGAGAUACGGCCCAGACUCCUCCGGGAGGCAGCAGUGGGGAAUAUUGCACAAUGGGGGGAAGCCUGAUGCAGCAACGCCGCGUGCGGGAUGACGGCGUUCGGGUUGUAAACCGCUUUCGCCUGUGACGAAGCGUGAGUGACGGUAAUGGGUAAAGAAGCACCGGCUAACUACGUG
This 468-nucleotide ribosomal RNA is filed under the name uncultured bacterium. RNAcentral's name for it is "partial 16S ribosomal RNA". It matches the Rfam family "Bacterial small subunit ribosomal RNA", at positions 28 to 507 of the family's 1533-position model. The record is from RNAcentral.